This 3184-nucleotide small RNA is filed under the name Pan troglodytes (chimpanzee). RNAcentral's name for it is "retained intron". The record is from RNAcentral. Lineage: Eukaryota; Metazoa; Chordata; Mammalia; Primates; Hominidae.
GCAUCCCUCCCUGCUCUUCUGUCGGAGCCCGCGGCGGGGGAGGGGCGCCGCCGCCGCCGCCUGAGGGAAGCCGGCAUCUGGGCUUCUGCGCGCCUCGCCCCGCGGCCGGGCCCAUGGCACUGUGAGCCUGCAAGGGAGCCCCGCUCGGCGCGGGGAGCGCCCGGCCCCCUCCCGCCCCAUGCGCCCGCGGCUCUGAAGCCUGAGCGGGGGCCGGGGGCCGGGCGGGGCCGGGGCCGGGGCCGAGGCCGCCGGAGGCAUGGCGUCCGGGAGCCGGUGGCGGCCGACACCGCCGCCGCUGCUGUUGCUGCUGCUGCUGGCGCUGGCGGCGCGCGCGGACGGCCUGGAGUUCGGCGGCGGCCCGGGGCAGUGGGCUCGCUACGCGCGCUGGGCGGGCGCGGCGAGCAGCGGCGAGCUCAGCUUCAGCCUGCGCACCAACGCCACGCGCGCGCUGCUGCUCUACCUGGACGACGGCGGCGACUGCGACUUCCUGGAGCUGCUGCUGGUGGACGGCCGCCUGCGGCUGCGCUUCACGCUUUCGUGCGCCGAGCCGGCCACGCUGCAGCUGGACACGCCGGUGGCCGACGACCGCUGGCACAUGGUGCUGCUGACCCGCGACGCGCGCCGCACGGCGCUGGCGGUGGACGGCGAGGCCCGCGCCGCCGAGGUGCGCUCCAAGCGGCGCGAGAUGCAGGUGGCCAGCGACCUGUUCGUGGGCGGCAUCCCGCCCGACGUGCGCCUCUCGGCGCUUACGCUGAGCACCGUCAAGUACGAGCCGCCCUUCCGCGGCCUCUUGGCCAACCUGAAGCUGGGCGAGCGGCCCCCCGCGCUGCUGGGCAGCCAGGGCCUGCGCGGCGCCACCGCCGACCCGCUGUGCGCGCCCGCGCGCAACCCCUGCGCCAACGGCGGCCUCUGCACCGUGCUGGCCCCCGGCGAGGUGGGCUGCGACUGCAGCCACACGGGCUUCGGCGGCAAGUUCUGCAGCGAAGAGGAGCACCCCAUGGAAGGCAAGGAGGAGUUUGUGGCGACCUUCAAAGGCAAUGAGUUCUUCUGCUACGACCUGUCACACAACCCCAUCCAGAGCAGCACUGAUGAGAUCACACUGGCCUUCCGCACCCUGCAACGCAACGGCCUGAUGCUGCAUACAGGCAAGUCGGCCGAUUACGUCAACCUGUCCCUCAAGUCUGGGGCUGUCUGGCUGGUCAUCAACCUAGGCUCAGGUGCCUUCGAGGCCCUUGUGGAACCCGUCAAUGGCAAGUUCAACGACAACGCCUGGCACGACGUCCGGGUCACCCGAAACCUGCGCCAGCACGCAGGGAUUGGACACGCUAUGGUAAACAAACUGCAUUAUCUGGUAGAUAUCACUCUAAUUGUCUUACCGUUUGGUUUGCCGUGGGUUUUUUUAACUGUUCGAUUCUCCCUCUUUUGUUUCCUCUCCCUGUUUGGUUUUUUGGUUGUUUUGCUCUUCCAAUUGUUUUUUGCGUCCUGGACAAUCUUUAGAUUUUGCUUCUCUUUUAGUUUCCCUCUUUCCCUUUUCUUUCUUUUUUGGUCCAAACUGAAAUACAAAAGACAAAUGGAAAUCGAGGAAUUUGGCUUGUCCCUGCUGUAAUCCCUAACUCCUGAAUUCAGAUUCCUGGCCAGAGAGACCUGGGGGCAGGCCCCAUGUUCAUCGGCUCUGGUUAGACCAGCCCCGAUGCCAGGCUGCUUAUUUCUAUUGCUUUAUUUUGUUCUUUUCCCUCCCCUCCCUUGUUUUUUCUCUUUGAUUUAGUUUCUUGGUCUCCUGAAAAUCCAUGGAAAACACCAUCCCAUGACAUGCUAUGCUCUGCUCACUGUCAGCUCCCUGGACAGGGCCGCUCAAGUUUGAGGAGGGGUCUGGGGGUGAGACCUCCAGUGGCAGCCAGUGGGGUGGGUUCCCAGGGGUGGAGGGCAUGGCCUUGGGAGAUGCGGAGCUGCCUGAGAUCAGUCCAGACCUCAUGCAAAUCAUCAGUUCAUAGCAGUUUGGGGGCUGCCCCAUGCUGGCUGGUCUGGGAAAGGUGCCAUCCCCUCCCUCACUUCUCAGCCUUGAGGGUUCCUGGUUCCAUGUCCCCCACAUUUUGCAUGGCAUGAAUGGUCUUUUCCCCUGACCAGGGAUAGCGUCCAGUUCCCCCAACUGCUCCGCUGCUCUGACUAACACUGUGUUUCACACUGUCUUCCUUCCCGUCACCCCCUGCCCUCUCUGCCCGCUGCCUGCCCCGCAUGGCCUCUGACAGGGGCUGGUUUCCUUCCCUGUUGAGGGGAGCCAGAGGAGGAGGCCUGCAGGGGUGGGAAGGGGCAGCAUUGGUUGUCCUUGUCACCAAGCUCCUCUGUUUGGGUUGGGCUCAGUCCUGGUGAGUGUUGGUGUGGGUGUCUGUGUAAAUGCAGCUGGUGUGUGUUGGUGUGUGGGUGUGACUGUGUGUAAAUGUUGGCGUGACAUUUCGGGGUGUUAGUGGGAAGCUGUACUGUGUGUGCGAGGCUCUGCUGGUGACUCUCCACGUGUGAGCUGGUGUGAGCUGGGGGCUGCGUGACUAUGUGGGUUUUUGAGCCUGGUGAGGACUCUGUGUGGAGGUGGACUGUGGAGACUGGCCCUUCAGUCGCAGUGCCAUGGCAGUCAGGAACAGGGAAGGAGCUGGGGCUAGCCCUUUGCUCCUUGCCUUGCCUCAGAGUGUGUGUGCGCAGGCCCUGCUGCGUGUGAUCCCCUGGGAUUCCCUCGUGCCUGCCCAGUCCUGGCUCUGCAGCAGCAGCCGGUUAGUCAUCGCCUAUUAAUAAUGCAGAGUGAUUGAACACCAGGCUGGGGACCCUGCAGAUGGACGUGUCUGCUCCCGUGGGGCCGGCGCUGCUUGGGGCAGCUGCCUGGCCUGCCCAGCCUCCCAGGUUUGUAUGGCUGGCUGGUGAGGAGGGAAGCGUGACAGUUGGGGCUCCCAAUCUGAGUGUCUCUCCCACUUCCCUAGGAGGCUCUACCUCUGAGGCUACAUCUGGCUUUUCCUGAUACUUUUUACAGAUCCAUGUUUUCCUGCACCCAUAUAGACUAGUGCCCAUGGCCAAAGCCAUUCCAGCCCUCCCCAAUUUAAGACCUCAGGUGGCCACUCCCAGUGGUCUUGGUGUUCCAAUGGGGCAUACAGUGCCAGGUUUCUUGUUCCUCCAGCUGCUGCUUCUAGGAGUUAGCUGCUAC